This 407-nucleotide ribosomal RNA is filed under the name uncultured bacterium. RNAcentral describes it as "partial 16S ribosomal RNA". It matches the Rfam family "Bacterial small subunit ribosomal RNA", at positions 28 to 526 of the family's 1533-position model. The record is from RNAcentral.
GACGAACGCUGGCGGCGUGCCUAAUACAUGCAAGUAGGACGCAGUUGCGAACGGGUGAGUAACGCGUAGGUAACUACCUAUUAGAGGGGGAUAACUAUUGGAAACGAUAGCUAAUACCGCAUACUAGUAGAUGGACCUGCGUUGUAUUAGCUAGUAGGUAGGGUAAUGGCCUACCUAGGCAACGAUACAUAGCCGACCCGAGAGGGAGGACGGCCAAAAUUGGACUGAUGAACCGCCCAGACUUCUACCGGGUGCAGCAGUAGGGAAUCUUCGGCAAUGGGGGGAACCCUGAACGAGCAACGCCGCGGGAGUGAAGAAGGUUUUCGGAUCGGAAAGCUCUGUUGUUAAGGAAGCGGUACUUAACCAGAAAGGGACGGCUAACUACGUGCCAGCCGCCGCGGUAAUUC